GCAGGGAAUAUUGCACAAUGGGCGAAAGCCUGAUGCAGCGACACCGCGUGCGGGAUGACGGCCUUAGGGUUGUAAACCGCUUUCGGGAGGGAAGAAAAUGACGGUACCUCCUAAAGAAGCUCCGGCCAACUACGUGCCAGCAGCCGCGGUAAUACGUAGGGAGCAAACGUUGUCCGGAUUUAUUGGGCGUAAAGGGCUCGUAGGCGGUUCAACAAGUCGGUCGUGAAAACCCGGAGCUCAACUCCGGGACGCCGGUCGAAACUGUUGUGACUAGAGUUCGGUAGAGGUGAGUGGAAUUCUCGGUGUAGCGGUGGAAUGCGCAGAUAUCGAGAGGAACACCAUUAGCGAAGGCGGCUCACUGGGCCGAUACUGACGCUGAGGAGCGAAAGCGUGGGGAGCAAACAGG
Molecule: ribosomal RNA, 406 nt
Filed under: uncultured bacterium
Lineage: Bacteria
Description: bacterial SSU rRNA
Rfam family: Bacterial small subunit ribosomal RNA
Source: RNAcentral